Molecule: ribosomal RNA, 403 nt
Filed under: Verrucomicrobiota bacterium
Lineage: Bacteria; Pseudomonadati; Verrucomicrobiota
Description: Verrucomicrobia bacterium partial 16S ribosomal RNA
Rfam family: Bacterial small subunit ribosomal RNA
Source: RNAcentral
UGGGGAAUAUUGCACAAUGGGGGAAACCCUGAUGCAGCGACGCCGCGUGAGCGAAGAAGGCUUUCGAGUCGUAAAGCUCUGUCCUAUGAGAAGAUAAUGACGGUACCAUAGGAGGAAGCCCCGGCUAACUACGUGCCAGCAGCCGCGGUAAUACGUAGGGGGCAAGCGUUGUCCGGAAUCACUGGGCGUAAAGGGUUCGCAGGCGGAAAUGCAAGUCAGGUGUAAAAGGCAGUAGCUUAACUACUGUAAGCAUUUGAAACUGCAUAUCUUGAGAAGAGUAGAGGUAAGUGGAAUUUUUAGUGUAGCGGUGAAAUGCGUAGAUAUUAAAAAGAAUACCGGUGGCGAAGGCGACUUACUGGGCUCAUUCUGACGCUGAGGAACGAAAGCGUGGGUAGCAAACAGG